CCAAUAGCGUAUAUUAAAGUUGUUGCAGUUAAAAAGCUCGUAGUUGAAUUUCGGGGUUAGUAGGUUGGUCAUGCCUCUGGUAUGUACUGGUCUCACUGAUUCCUCCUUCCUGAUGAGCCGUAAUGCCAUUAAUUUGGUGUUGCGGGGAAUCUGGACUGUUACUUUGAAAAAAUUAGAGUGUUUAAAGCAAGCUAACGCUUGAAUACAUUAGCAUGGAAUAAUGAAAUAGGACGUUCGAUCCUAUUUUGUUGGUUUCUAGGAUUGACGUAAUGAUUAAUAGGGAUAGUUGGGGGCAUUAGUAUUCAAUUGUCAGAGGUGAAAUUCUUGGAUUUAUUGAAGACUAACUACUGCGAAAGCAUUUGCCAAGGAUGUUUUCAUUAAUCAAGAACGAAAGUUAUGGGAUCGAAGACGAUCAGAUACCGUCGUAGUCUUAACCAUAAACUAUGCCGACUAGGGAUCGGAUGAUGUUAAUUUUUUAAUGACUCAUUCGGCGCCUUACG
RNAcentral lists this ribosomal RNA (500 nucleotides) under uncultured Glomeromycotina. RNAcentral's name for it is "partial small subunit ribosomal RNA". It matches the Rfam family "Eukaryotic small subunit ribosomal RNA", at positions 591 to 1092 of the family's 1831-position model. The record is from RNAcentral. Lineage: Eukaryota; Fungi; Glomeromycota.